Molecule: non-coding RNA, 618 nt
Organism: Hemicordylus capensis (graceful crag lizard)
Lineage: Eukaryota; Metazoa; Chordata; Lepidosauria; Squamata; Cordylidae
Source: the annotation of a RefSeq genome assembly
AGCCCUCUUCAGGGAAGAUUUUGCCCCAGGAGACCAACUUUCUCAUAUCUCCUCUGCCAUGGCCUGGACCUCUUUUCUCCUCCUCCUCUUCAUGAACUGCACCGGGGCCUUUGCUCAGUUUUUCCUGACUCAACCACCUUACAUAUCAGCAUCCCUUGGAGAAACGAUCAGGAUCUCCUGCACUAGGAGCUGUGGGAACAUCGGCAGCUAUUACGUAUCCUGGUACCAGCAGAAACAUGGCAGCUCCCCCAGACUGGUGAUGUACGGCUUCAGCACCAGACCUGCCGGGAUCCCCGAGCGAUUCUCAGGCGCCAUCGACAGCUCGUCCAACUCCGCCACUUUAACCAUCUCCAACAUCCAAGAAGAAGACGAGGCUGAUUAUUACUGUUUAUCUUACGAUGAUGGCCCGGUUGAACACACGAUGCUCCAGGUGUAUGAGGAAGACAACCACACUGGGAUGUGUUUUCUGGACCAAACAUGCGAUGGAGAGACCUUGUGCUAAGCACGUCUACCCAGAAGGGAACCUCACACAAGCCACCUUGAGUUCCAUGAUGGAAGGAAGACAAGAUAUCAAUGUAGAAUACAGAUGCUUUUGAAUAAAACAGUGUUGCAUCCAUA